This 383-nucleotide ribosomal RNA is filed under the name uncultured bacterium. RNAcentral describes it as "bacterial SSU rRNA". It matches the Rfam family "Bacterial small subunit ribosomal RNA", at positions 28 to 416 of the family's 1533-position model. The record is from RNAcentral.
GACGAACGCUGGCGGCGUGCUUAACACAUGCAAGUCGAGCGGAAAGGCCUUUCGGGGUACUCGAGCGGCGAACGGGUGAGUAACACGUGAGUAACCUGCCCCAGACUUUGGGAUAACCCUCGGAAACGGGGGCUAAUACCGGAUACGACACUUCAUCGCAUGGUGUGAGUGUGGAAAGUUUUUCGGUUUGGGAUGGGCUCGCGGCCUAUCAGCUUGUUGGUGGGGUGAUGGCCUACCAAGGCGACGACGGGAGCCGGCCUGAGAGGGCGACCGGCCACACUGGGACUGAGACACGGCCCAGACUCCUACGGGAGGCAGCAGUGGGGAAUAUUGCACAAUGGGCGGAAGCCUGAUGCAGCGACGCCGCGUGAGGGAUGACGGCC